RNAcentral lists this ribosomal RNA (429 nucleotides) under Acidobacteriota bacterium. Its description in RNAcentral is "Acidobacteria bacterium partial 16S ribosomal RNA". It matches the Rfam family "Bacterial small subunit ribosomal RNA", at positions 355 to 776 of the family's 1533-position model. The record is from RNAcentral. Lineage: Bacteria; Pseudomonadati; Acidobacteriota.
UGGGGAAUUUUGGACAAUGGGGGAAACCCUGAUCCAGCCAUCCCGCGUGUGCGAUGAAGGCCUUCGGGUUGUAAAGCACUUUUGGCAGGAAAGAAACGUCAUGGGUUAAUACCCCGUGAAACUGACGGUACCUGCAGAAUAAGCACCGGCUAACUACGUGCCAGCAGCCGCGGUAAUACGUAGGGUGCAAGCGUUAAUCGGAAUUACUGGGCGUAAAGCGUGCGCAGGCGGUUCGGAAAGAAAGAUGUGAAAUCCCAGAGCUCAACUUUGGAACUGCAUUUUUAACUACCGGGCUAGAGUGUGUCAGAGGGAGGUGGAAUUCCGCGUGUAGCAGUGAAAUGCGUAGAUAUUCGGAGGAACACCGAUGGCGAAGGCAGCCUCCUGGGAUAACACUGACGCUCAUGCACGAAAGCGUGGGGAGCAAACAGG